Mobula hypostoma (lesser devil ray) is the source of this 2630-nucleotide long non-coding RNA. RefSeq lists it as uncharacterized. The transcript is spliced from 9 exons. Lineage: Eukaryota; Metazoa; Chordata; Chondrichthyes; Myliobatiformes; Myliobatidae. The record is from RefSeq and is a predicted model, not a curated record.
CAGUGGGCGACUGUAGCUGCCUUUAAAACGGGAUCUGCACAGUCGCUCUCUGCGAAGUGACAACAGCGUCCGUUCCUGAAACUUUGUCGUUUUUGUUUGGUAAAAGUUAACACUCGCGUAAACACUGACAGGACACAUACAUAUAUAUGGACUUUAGUUUAUAAAAAAUCAAACUCGGAGAGAGAGAAAUUGUUGUCCUGGAGGGGUUUAUUUUGAAAAAGAAGAGCAAAAAAUCAGAAGGCGAAACUAUACCACCACAAACUGAAGGAAGACUCAGCAACAGGCUUUAUGUGAAUCCAACUACCAUGUCCUCGUAGGUUUUGAAACCGGUAACAACACCAGCAGUACUCACCAUCAGAUAAAAGUACUCAAAAAUAUCUGAAAUUCUAACACGCGCCACCUCCCCCCCACCCGACCUUACAAGGAUGCUGAAAUUCCUCAAGAAAGAAGUCACAUCAGUCAACAAUGCCAAAAGGGUUCGGGAAAGGACAUAAACCAAGAAACAUCUCAGCCACUUUGUUCUGCUAGGUAUUUUCAAAUCUGUAUUCAGCCGCGAGACCCCUCCCACGAAGCGGAGUCCUGGUCCUGGCCCGAGGUUCAGUGAAGACACCGGUCUGGUGGGACCAGUCUGAGAUCAGUCUGGCUCUGGGGGCAGCAGCUGGUCAAGUGGACCUCUGGGCUGGGCCCCAGCUGCCCUCUCCUCCUGCAGGAUGGCUGUAGCUGAGUGACCCUGGGGAUCACAACUUCAGUUCUGUGUCGCCUGGCAUUUCCAGCAAACAUUGAGGGUGUUUUAAGACUUUAUCUUCUCAGAGACAAGGUGAUGAUGAGAUUCAGAAGUAAAGCAUGAAACAUCAAGAACAUUCAGGUUGGAUGAGACUGGAACUAAAGGGUGAAAGACAAAAUAUCUACAGGGAAUCUGCAGGGAAACUUCUUCAUCAGGUGGAGCGAGCUGCCUGAAGAAGUGAAACCAGUAACAAAAAGGAAUGGAAUUUCCAAUUGGGCCAUCUGAUGGUCUGCCAUUAUUUCAGAGCCUGGACAAAACCCAGGAAAGACACCAUAAAUAUUGUGAUUGGGAGAAAGCCAACAGGAAAAAUGCAAUCACCAGCCAACCCCCAUCAAGGUCUGUCAAGAAAGGAGAUCAGACACUUGUUCAACUCUCCGAAGUUCACAUGCAAAGGGUUUCCAGCAAUUACUUUGUCCCACUCUUACCUCAGCCGAGGGUUUGAGACCCGCUCUAGUAACCGGAGAACAAGCCAGUCCGGAGUACGGAUGCAGAGCAGAGGGAGAAUGGAUCUGUCAGAGGCACCAGCUUCCAGCCGAGGUGCUAAACUGAGGCCGAGCCUGCUACCCUCAGGUGGAUAUAAAAGACCCCACAGCUAGUCUGAAGUGGAGAUGGAGGAUGCCCAUUCUAGCACUUAACUCUGCAAGCAUUUUUUCACAUGGUGGGGCAUUGGGAGGUGUUCAAAGGAGUGUUAGUGUCCUUGUGCUCACUCUACACUAACAUGUAGGUUCAGCAAGCAAUUAACAGGGCAAAUGAUCUAUCUGUUGGGUCAUUGCUGGAGGCUUUGAGUGCAAGAGUAGAGAUAUCUUACUGCAGUUAUACAAGGUCUCAGUGGGAACAUGCCUGGAGUAUUGUGUUUAAUUUUGAUUCCCACAUCUAAAUAAAGAUAUGCUUAUUAAUGAAGCAGAGCAGCAAAAUUAGCUCCUGGGAUGAUCUGACGCAUUAGUCAGGAACUUAGAAAAAUGGAAGGGUAUCUAAUUUCUCUGCAUCUGCAUUCAGUUAUUGUUUUACCCUCUUCCACCUCAAUGCGCCAUGCAACUAUUUGAUAAGUAUGAACAGUAUUUCAAGUUCAGAUUUAAUGACCUUCCACCAUAUACAGGUAAAUAAAACAACAUUCCUCUGGACCAACGUGCACAACAUAGUACAUGUACGGUAACUCACACACAACACAGAAAAUAAUAUUACCACAAAAUAAAUGGUAAUAUUUAUCAUUUAUAUUAGCAUAAAAUAUAUUCCAGAAGAUUGACAUUUAGUGUAAAGUUAAAAUGUAAACAGCAUAACAGCAUAAUACUACUGGCAUUUCACACGUGAUGAGAUCUGGGUGAUAGUAGAGAGUGCAAUAGUCCCAUGGACUUGGGGAAGAAGCUGUUUCCCAUCUUAACAGUCCUUGUCCUGAUGCUACGGAACCUCCUGCCUGAUGAUAGGGGGUCAAAGAGAUUGUGGAACGGACGGGAGAUAUCCUGGACAAUGCUUGUUAAGGAACUCACAAGCUUUUCACUGUAUCUUGACAUAUGUGACAGUUAUAAACUGAUUCCAUUUCCAAUUCUAAUAAACAAGACCAGGUAAGAUGGACAAAUUUCCUCCCCAACAGAGUCUCAGUAAACCAGAUGUAUUCGUCAUUAAUCCAAUUGGUUCAUUACUGGCAGCAGUCCCUGUUUACCCCAGACAUGAGGAUGCUCUCUAUGAUGGCAGUGUAGAAUUGCACUAGUUUUUUGAUAGUUUUAUACUUUAUUCUGCAUUGUAAUUGCCUUGCCUUAUUCCAGUGAAAUGCACUGUGCUACAAAUUGAUCUGUAUGAACAAACUUUUCAUUGUAUCUUGUUACAUGUGAUAACAAUAAACUAAUUCCAA